GCGGACGGGUGAGUAAUGCCUAGGAAUCUGCCUGGUAGUGGGGGAUAACGUCCGGAAACGGGCGCUAAUACCGCAUACGUCCUGAGGGAGAAAGUGGGGGAUCUUCGGACCUCACGCUAUCAGAUGAGCCUAGGUCGGAUUAGCUAGUUGGUGGGGUAAAGGCCUACCAAGGCGACGAUCCGUAACUGGUCUGAGAGGAUGAUCAGUCACACUGGAACUGAGACACGGUCCAGACUCCUACGGGAGGCAGCAGUGGGGAAUAUUGGACAAUGGGCGAAAGCCUGAUCCAGCCAUGCCGCGUGUGUGAAGAAGGUCUUCGGAUUGUAAAGCACUUUAAGUUGGGAGGAAGGGCAGUAAGUUAAUACCUUGCUGUUUUGACGUUACCAACAGAAUAAGCACCGGCUAACUUCGUGCCAGCAGCCGCGGUAAUACGAAGGGUGCAAGCGUUAAUCGGAAUUACUGGGCGUAAAGCGCGCGUAGGUGGUUCAGCAAGUUGGAUGUGAAAUCCCCGGGCUCAACCUGGGAACUGCAUCCAAAACUACUGAGCUAGAGUACGGUAGAGGGUGGUGGAAUUUCCUGUGUAGCGGUGAAAUGC
This 595-nucleotide ribosomal RNA is filed under the name Pseudomonas aeruginosa. Its description in RNAcentral is "bacterial SSU rRNA". It matches the Rfam family "Bacterial small subunit ribosomal RNA", at positions 98 to 689 of the family's 1533-position model. The record is from RNAcentral. Lineage: Bacteria; Pseudomonadati; Pseudomonadota; Gammaproteobacteria; Pseudomonadales; Pseudomonadaceae.